This 433-nucleotide ribosomal RNA is filed under the name uncultured bacterium. RNAcentral describes it as "partial 16S ribosomal RNA". It matches the Rfam family "Bacterial small subunit ribosomal RNA", at positions 29 to 507 of the family's 1533-position model. The record is from RNAcentral.
AACGAACGCUGGCGGCAUGCCUAACACAUGCAAGUCGAACGAGACCUUCGGGUCUAGUGGCGCACGGGUGCGUAACGCGUGGGAACCUGCCCUUAGGUUCGGAAUAACUCCCCGAAAGGGGUGCUAAUACCGGAUAAUGUCUUCGGACCAAAGAUUUAUCGCCUUUGGAUGGGCCCGCGUUGGAUUAGCUAGUUGGUAGGGUAAAAGCCUACCAAGGCGACGAUCCAUAGCUGGUCAGAGAGGAUGAUCAGCCACACUGGGACUGAGACACGGCCCAGACUCCUACGGGAGGCAGCAGUGGGUAAUAUUGGACAGUGGGCGAAAGCCUGAUCCAGCAAUGCCGCGUGAGUGAUGAAGGCCUUAGGGUUGUAAAGCUCUUUUACCCGGGAUGAUAAUGACAGUACCGGGAGAAUAAGCUCCGGCUAACUCCGUG